Long non-coding RNA from Equus quagga, 1039 nucleotides. RefSeq lists it as uncharacterized. The transcript is spliced from 3 exons. The record is from RefSeq and is a predicted model, not a curated record. NCBI's taxonomy places the organism in Eukaryota, Metazoa, Chordata, Mammalia, Perissodactyla, Equidae.
GAAAACCAGAGGCAUAUGACUACUGAAAACAGUGUAUGAUCCAGGAUUUUCUUUUGCUAUAAAGAUCAUUACCAGGACAAUUGGAGGCAUCUGCAUAAAUUCAGGUCAUAAACUCCAUGGAAGCAAAGAGCUUGUCUAUGUUGUUCAUCACUGCCCAUGGUGGCCAGGAUAGUGCCUAGCACAGAGAGGAGAAUGUUUGUUGAAUGAAUACAUGGUGAACAGCAGCAGUGAAAUGCAUAUAUUGAGAGCUUAUUAUCUGGCCGACACCGUGCUGAGCCUUUCUAUGCAUUCCCUCGCUAAUCUCACCAGCUCAUCUUCUUCAAGGAAGAUAUCCUCACUUUGCAGAUGAUACAAUGGAGCCUUAGAAAGGUGAGCCCACAGGUGCGCUGCUACACAACUGGUCUGUGGCAGAGCCACAGUUGUCACCCAGGCCCAUCCGACUUUGAAGCCACUAUUUGCCAGAUAUGAGGAAACUGGAGGAUUGAAUUACACAUUUAUUAUCCUGAAGGAUAAUGGCAUGUUCUAACCAAAGGGCAAAGAGCCAGGUCAAGAAAGAGAACAGAGCUGCUCCGGCUUCAUGUCCUUGGAGAACUUGUGCAAUGAUGAAGGUGUUGUCACCUGUGUCCAGUUCGGAGCAAUGUUCAGAAAGGGGUGGCAGGGCGGGCGGCUGCACAUUGUCGUGGAGGUCCAGGAAGCAGCACAAAGGUGUGGCUUGCUCUGGCGUCCCAGGGGAAGCGACGCUUCUGGGCGCUUUGCCGCAUUUUCAAGCUUCUCCGGUGAAAAAUAGACGGCCGGCAGCAGGCUCCAGAUGGCCACAGGAUGUGGGCCACGCUUCCGGAGAUGCUGAUGUCGGGGCUGUAAUCCUCUGUCACAGGCAGAGUUUGACGUGUGGCCGUCCUCACGCAUGGACCUGGGGGAGACUGGCUGCCCGCAGGGCCUCGAGGACUGUGGAGUGGCGAGUUCCUUCUCUGAGCAAAUUUUAGUCUCAGGACAGCGCUGGUCCCCGCACAGCAAACCAACGAAUCCAAACAGAAGGGGC